AUGGCCCUUGUCUAUGAGCAUAUGUCAAAUGGAAACCUUGCAGAUAAACUCAGAGGGCGAGAUCGCAAUGGUGAAUGUUUAACCUGGAGACAGAGGCUCUGUAUUGCAUCAGAGUCCGCGCAAGGCCUCGAGUACCUGCACAAGGCGUGUAGCCCGCCAUUUGUACACCGUGAUGUGAAGAUGUCAAACAUCCUACUGGAUUCCAAUAUGAAGGCCAAGGUUGCUGAUUUUGGCUUGAUGAAAGCCUUCAAUUGCGAUGAUGAUACACAUGUAUCCACGGCCAGGGUGGUUGGCACACAAGGCUACCUUGCCCCUGAGUAUGCAACAGCACUGCAGCUCACUGAAAAGAGCGAUGUGUACAGCUUUGGCGUGGUGCUACUGGAGCUGAUCACUGGAAAGACUCCCUUCGUGCAAAUAUGGCAGGAGCAGCCGACCCAUAUUGUCAAGUGGGCGCAACAACGCCUUUCACGUGGUGACAUCGAGGGCUUGGUGGACACGCGCAUGCAAGGCAAUUAUGACAUCAACAGUGUGUGGAAGGUCGUGGACCUCGCGCUGGAGUGCACGGCGCAAAUUCCGACGCAGCGGCCCACGAUGACCCGCGUGGUGGCGCAGUUGCUAGAGUACCUCGAUCUGGAGGAUAACCGUGCCAUCUUUUACACUGCCAUGAAUGGCGACACAAGUGGCACAUACUACACAAGUAUCAGUGGCAACAGGAAUGACAUCUUCUACACCGGUAGCUGCGACGAUCCCAAUUCAAGUUCUAGUAUGUACACCACUGGCCAAUCCACAACUGAUGCUGCCCACAGCAGCGCAGCACUGAGAGUGGAAAAUAAUCCUGGCAGCGCUUCAGUGGUGGCCACCGGUCCUGCUGCAGGAUGA
RNAcentral lists this ribosomal RNA (879 nucleotides) under Triticum aestivum (bread wheat). Its description in RNAcentral is "partial small subunit ribosomal RNA". Lineage: Eukaryota; Viridiplantae; Streptophyta; Magnoliopsida; Poales; Poaceae. The record is from RNAcentral.